AACGUGUCCUGGAGUGGGGGAUAGCCCGGCGAAAGCCGGAUUAAUACCGCAUACGCUCUGUGGAGGAAAGCGGGGGAUCUUCGGACCUCGCGCUCAAGGGGCGGCCGAUGGCGGAUUAGCUAGUUGGUGGGGUAAAGGCCUACCAAGGCGACGAUCCGUAGCUGGUCUGAGAGGACGACCAGCCACACUGGGACUGAGACACGGCCCAGACUCCUACGGGAGGCAGCAGUGGGGAAUUUUGGACAAUGGGGGAAACCCUGAUCCAGCAAUGCCGCGUGUGUGAAGAAGGCCUUCGGGUUGUAAAGCACUUUUGUCCGGAAAGAAAACCUAUGGGUUAAUACCUCGUGGGGAUGACGGUACCGGAAGAAUAAGCACCGGCUAACUACGUGCCAGCAGCCGCGGUAAUACGUAGGGUGCGAGCGUUAAUCGGAAUUACUGGGCGUAAAGCGUGCGCAGGCGGUUUGCUAAGACCGAUGUGAAAUCCCCGGGCUCAACCUGGGAACUGCAUUGGUGACUGGCAGGCUAGAGUAUGGCAGAGGGGGGUAGAAUUCCACGUGUAGCAGUGAAAUGCGUAGAGAUGUGGAGGAAUACCGAUGGCGAAGGCAGCCCCCUGGGCCAAUACUGACGCUCAGCAC
This 635-nucleotide ribosomal RNA is filed under the name Trinickia sp. RNAcentral's name for it is "bacterial SSU rRNA". It matches the Rfam family "Bacterial small subunit ribosomal RNA", at positions 123 to 754 of the family's 1533-position model. The record is from RNAcentral. Lineage: Bacteria; Pseudomonadati; Pseudomonadota; Betaproteobacteria; Burkholderiales; Burkholderiaceae.